This 794-nucleotide non-coding RNA is filed under the name Human betaherpesvirus 5. The record is from RNAcentral. Lineage: Duplodnaviria; Heunggongvirae; Peploviricota; Herviviricetes; Herpesvirales; Orthoherpesviridae.
ACAGAAACUCGGGAUAGGAACCGCGAAUAUUGACGUUGAGCGAGUUGAUGUAGACGGCGUCGUUGGAAACAAAAGUGCUGACGGUGCAAGCGGGCUCUUUAAAGGUGUGCUUGUACAUCACAAAACUGUGGGUCAUGUUCUUGGGAAGCCGCGGUGCGCGCACGCCGAGACCCGACGCGGCGAUGGACGAGAGCGCGGCCUUCAUAUUGAUAACGCGGUUGGUGUUGAAAGCGUUGACGGCGAUGCGGUCCAGACUCACGCCCGUCACCUCGGCAAACUCCAUCCCGCCGAUGAGCUUACGACGGCACGGCGCGUAACGCUGCACGGCUAGAUGUUUACGACGUCGGUGUUCCUGAUAGGCCCGGCGCAGCUGCUGCCCCGUAAAGUCAAAUGGCGGCGUGGCGUCAAUCUCCCCCGAUUCCAGCGUCUCUUCCUCCUCCUCUUCUCCCGUCUCCGACCGCCGUUGACGGUGUUUACGCCAUCUCUCCCCGUACCGAGCGUACAUGAGACGCGAGAUAAUGCACACGUAACGUCGAACGCGAUCGGCGGCCGGGUCGCGCGGCAGUGACAGCUUGUGACCCGCGCUCGUCGUCGGGAGCGCGGUGGAAGACAGCGCGUGUCCGUUCGCCGAAACCACCGUCGAUUCUGACGGUGAUAGCCGCGACGUCCUCGGAGCGCAAGAAACACCGUAACCGCGGUUUACGGGUCGGUUCUCUGUCCCAUGGGACCCCAGAUCCCAAGCUAGUUCGUAAUAAACGUAGAAAAGGUUUCUCCCGAAAAAAAAAAAAAAAAAA